Molecule: ribosomal RNA, 1450 nt
Filed under: bacterium CCBAU 15542
Lineage: Bacteria
Description: bacterial SSU rRNA
Rfam family: Bacterial small subunit ribosomal RNA
Source: RNAcentral
AGGCAGGGGGCAGGUCUAACACAUGCAGUCGAGCGGUAGCACAGGGAGCUUGCUCUCGGGUGACGAGCGGCGGACGGGUGAGUAAUGUCUGGGAAACUGCCUGAUGGAGGGGGAUAACUACUGGAAACGGUAGCUAAUACCGCAUAACGUCGCAAGACCAAAGAGGGGGACCUUCGGGCCUCUUGCCAUCAGAUGUGCCCAGAUGGGAUUAGCUAGUAGGUGGGGUAACGGCUCACCUAGGCGACGAUCCCUAGCUGGUCUGAGAGGAUGACCAGCCACACUGGAACUGAGACACGGUCCAGACUCCUACGGGAGGCAGCAGUGGGGAAUAUUGCACAAUGGGCGCAAGCCUGAUGCAGCCAUGCCGCGUGUAUGAAGAAGGCCUUCGGGUUGUAAAGUACUUUCAGCGAGGAGGAAGGUGUUGAGGUUAAUAACCUCAGCAAUUGACGUUACUCGCAGAAGAAGCACCGGCUAACUCCGUGCCAGCAGCCGCGGUAAUACGGAGGGUGCAAGCGUUAAUCGGAAUUACUGGGCGUAAAGCGCACGCAGGCGGUCUGUCAAGUCGGAUGUGAAAUCCCCGGGCUCAACCUGGGAACUGCAUUCGAAACUGGCAGGCUAGAGUCUUGUAGAGGGGGGUAGAAUUCCAGGUGUAGCGGUGAAAUGCGUAGAGAUCUGGAGGAAUACCGGUGGCGAAGGCGGCCCCCUGGACAAAGACUGACGCUCAGGUGCGAAAGCGUGGGGAGCAAACAGGGAUUAGAUACCCUGGUAGUGCACGCCGUAAACGAUGUCGACUUGGAGGUUGUGCCCUUGAGGCGUGGCUUCCGGAGCUAACGCGUUAAGUCGACCGCCUGGGGAGUACGGCCGCAAGGUUAAAACUCAAAUGAAUUGACGGGGGCCCGCACAAGCGGUGGAGCAUGUGGUUUAAUUCGAUGCAACGCGAAGAACCUUACCUACUCUUGACAUCCAGAGAACUUAGCAGAGAUGCUUUGGUGCCUUCGGGAACUCUGAGACAGGUGCUGCAUGGCUGUCGUCAGCUCGUGUUGUGAAAUGUUGGGUUAAGUCCCGCAACGAGCGCAACCCUUAUCCUUUGUUGCCAGCGGUCCGGCCGGGAACUCAAAGGAGACUGCCAGUGAUAAACUGGAGGAAGGUGGGGAUGACGUCAAGUCAUCAUGGCCCUUACGAGUAGGGCUACACACGUGCUACAAUGGCGCAUACAAAGAGAAGCGACCUCGCGAGAGCAAGCGGACCUCAUAAAGUGCGUCGUAGUCCGGAUUGGAGUCUGCAACUCGACUCCAUGAAGUCGGAAUCGCUAGUAAUCGUAGAUCAGAAUGCUACGGUGAAUACGUUCCCGGGCCUUGUACACACCGCCCGUCACACCAUGGGAGUGGGUUGCAAAAGAAGUAGGUAGCUUAACCUUCGGGAGGGCGCUACCACCUUUGAUUACCGGUUC